CUGGACAGCCUUCUGAAGGAUGAGAGGCACACGGAGCAGAGCCAAGUUUCUCCCGUCACCCCAUCCAAAUUCAACUACAUCAGCCAAGGUCAGCCAACAUCAGCCAGCAAUGAUGGAACCCCCCAGACAUAGACUGGAGCAUGCAGAUAAGGUGAGUGUGUGACGGCAGAAAUGCAGAAAAGAAGCUCUUUCCUUAACCACACACGGGGUGGAAAGAACGCCUUGUCCAGAAGCCGAAGGACACUGAGGCUCUAAACUCCUGCUGUGUGGGCUGCAGCAGGCCACUGCUCUUCUCUGACCCUCAGUUUCUUCAUCUGUAAAACUGGAACAUGAUGCCCCACUGGAAGGCUAUCGUGAGGGCUGGACACGGCGAUGUAAAUUGAGGGCCAAGCGUGGAGCCGGCAUAGAGUGGACACUAAAAUACACCAGGCUGUUUCAUUUGGCAAAAGGGGUUCAAUUCUGUCUUUUAAACUCAUGCACUUUGGCAUAUUUGGCUUCUAAAUAUGCAGUGAGGCAGGAAGAGCAAUGAGUCUGGAAGCCAGAGAUUCUCGUGCAUCCAUUCUCUCCUCUGUCUCAGCUUUGCAUUGUACCUUGGGUGAGCCAUUGCACCUCCCUGACCCUCUGUGUCUUCAUCUACCAGACAGAAAAAAUUACACUUACUCCUAAACCAUAAUGUUUGGCAAGACCCAGUGAACCUCACAAAGCACCCCCAAAAGGCAGGCAGGAUGAGGAGUUCUCCCUGUUGAGCUGUGUGAGCUGCCCAGAUUGAUAUGCCUAGAAGGCACCCCAUUUGGAAGUAAACACAGGCUCCAUUUAAGGAUGCACGGAAGGUUGGAACACUUUAUUCCUGAACACAUUUAUGUAAAAUUAAUUGCAUCACCUGUUCUCUGCAUCUUCUAAUUGCAAAACCAAUUAACUUUAAAAUGCUCAGCACAGUGUGGCCAAGGGAAGGGAAGGCAAAGACCAGGCUGGCUUUGCAAACUCUGUGCCAUUUGUAGUGGCCACAGUGGCCCUAGGAAGUCCCAGCCAUUCCCAUCUGCUGGCCGAGGAGGCCCUGUGGGAUGCUGGGAGACUCUAGGAGAUGAGCAAGACCCUCAGAGUCUGGGGCUGGAAACUUCCUAGCACAAGUGAGCUGAGUGGUCAUGGGCCAGGUGAUGGAGUGGACAUUCCCCAGUGGUGGCCAGAAUGACCCAAUAUCAACUGCCCCUCCACCCAGCACCCCCAUUCCCUUUACCCUGUAUUUUGUUCCCCUCUGCCAUUUUCACUGCCCGACUGGCUGUGUAGCUAUUUGUUUAUCAUGUUUCUCCUCAGUAAAAUGUUGACUCCACAAAGACAUGUCUAUUGCACCUCCUGCUGUGUGCCUGGGACCUAGAACAGUGCCUGGCACAUAGUAGGUGCUCAGACAAAUGAAUGAAUGAAUGAAUGAAUGAAUGAAUGAAUGAAUGAAUGAACUAAUGGACUUCAGCUCAUUGUGAGAUGGGA
This 1482-nucleotide long non-coding RNA is filed under the name Homo sapiens (human). Its description in RNAcentral is "HSALNT0004077". The record is from RNAcentral. Lineage: Eukaryota; Metazoa; Chordata; Mammalia; Primates; Hominidae.